UCACUGGAGAACCUUUUGACACGGAGAACCCUGUUUUCUUUGUGUGCAGUCUACUUUUCUGGUGAUUCAUGCCCUCAGUUACCAUUCACACCCUUCACAGAUGGCAUGUGCCGAGAUAUGAGCAGUGAGGGUCGGAGCAGGGACACAUAUGGUGUGACUGAGUGGGAUGAUUCACUGACCCCGGUGCCUGUGAGCAAGGUGACUAUGGAUCACUUGGGAAAUGGACGGUUGAACUUUCCUCUAUGUUUACUUAUGAAAUAUCCUUGAACGCAGUUAUCAGACAGACUGAUAUGAAGCUCAGCAAGAGGAGAGGAAAUCAGGGCUGUAGUGAAACGUGACCAGAAUAGAUUUUUGGACAUUUGAAACCGCUUUCAUCCAGUAGGAAUAAUUGGAUGGCGUUAGAAAAGUGGAAGAAUAAAAGGAGAUUUUAAGAAAGUCAAGAUAUCAGCACAUUUCUUGAAUAUUUUGUGCAUUUUAGUGUGUGCUGCUGUCAUCUUGACAGUUCUCUCUUGAUUUGUAAGAAAAAGUUGAAGUUGCACACAUGUGGUUCAGCUGUUGAGUAACUUUUUGAUGGUCCAAAGUCUAAAGUAUUUUCAUAAACGGAGAGAACUUAUCUAGUUGUAUCAUUAUUUCUCUGACAGGCCUGGUCCUGCAUAUCUGAUAAUAACUUGUCUUCAUAAAUCGAUUUGGGAUGAUAAAGGUUUCAAUAAAAUCUGCUCUAAACUGUCAAAUGUUUUGAACCGUCACUAACACCAACAGUUAGCUGGUCUAAUCAUUACAAACAGCAGGUUUCUACCAGCUGCAGACUGUUUGUGUCUGAGGUGACGGGUCGUCUUCACCUUGGGCCAUAACCUAUGAUAAAGCAUAUUGGUGGAUCUUUAACCGGUGGACCCAGCUUCAGCGGCAGAUUCCAGAGGAUUGCGAAAGUGUGCAAAGCUCUGGACGAGGCAUUAGUGCGUGGGAAGUUGGUAUGCAUUCAUGCAAGUCCACUAUAGGCUGAUAUUCUCUCCAGGGGGCAACAGACGAAGCCUGUGCCGGGCAAAGGUUGAUUUCAGUCUGUUCUGCACUUGACAGCUACUGUCAAUCAGCUCUCUGCCAGGAGAAGCAACUACAAGAUGAGUGUCCAAGAGGAUUCGGUUAAGAGCAAUGGUGUCGCGGUCAUGGCUGAGAGCAGCUGUACUCAGAAGGCUAUGUCAGACACAGACUUAAAGAUGAACUCCACUCUGAACGGAGAAGCCAUCACUUCCGAGCUCAGCUCAAUGUCCAAGCUGGAGGAAGCCACUGAAGGACUUUCACUAGGUG
Long non-coding RNA from Notothenia coriiceps (black rockcod), 1302 nucleotides. RefSeq lists it as uncharacterized. The record is from RefSeq and is a predicted model, not a curated record. The transcript is spliced from 3 exons. NCBI's taxonomy places the organism in Eukaryota, Metazoa, Chordata, Actinopteri, Perciformes, Nototheniidae.